This 1350-nucleotide ribosomal RNA is filed under the name Triticum aestivum (bread wheat). RNAcentral describes it as "partial small subunit ribosomal RNA". The record is from RNAcentral. Lineage: Eukaryota; Viridiplantae; Streptophyta; Magnoliopsida; Poales; Poaceae.
AUGAAGUCUCCUCUCGAGGCGUUGCUUCAUGAAACUCCAGAUUACUCCUUCCUCAAAGUGUUCGGUUGUGUGUGUUGGCCACAUCUUCGUUCAUACAACAAGCAUAAACUUGAGUAUCGAUCAAAAAAAUGUGUUUUUCUUGGGUACAGUCCUCUCCACAAAGGUUACAAGUGUCUCCACAUUCCGACGAAUCGCGUUUACAUUUCCCGUGACGUUGUGUUCGAUGAGACUGUCUUCCCGUUUUCCACGCUCACAUCAUCCACUGAUACUCCCGUCACCGAGUUGCACUCUUUUCCAGUUUUGCCUGAUCAAUUUGUGGAUGCUGCAUAUUCUCCUAUGUUGUUGCCUAACCAUGAUGCAGGGACUAGACGAGGUGCGCGACUUGAGCUUCUUGAGGAUGAUAAUGAGGCCUCACAUGAGCCAUCUGCCACUACGCCGGCUGUGCCUGUUGCUACGCAGGCUGCUCACGACGUCGACCGCAAGUGCAUGGGACAUGCACGUGGACUUGAUGAGGCACCCACGUCGCCUGUGUCCAUCGCCUCGGUGUCACCUAGUCCGGCCAACCCCGCGGUGUUGCCGCCUGGGUCGCCUGGGUCUGUGGCUUCGCAGCUGCCUGGGUCGGCUGACCCCGCAGUGUUGGCGCCUGGACCGGCCGACCCCGCGGCGUUGCCCCAUGGGCCGGUAGCACCCGAGGCACUGUCACUUGGGCAGGAGGCCUCGCCGACUGUUGCAUCGCUUGGGUCAUCAUCUUCUGGCUCGUCUUCGCCGACCACUUCAGGCGCGUCUUCUUCAUCGCUGAUGGACAGUGGCUCCUCUGUGGUGGCUGCUUCACUGUCACCUCCGCCUGUUGUCCUGCGUCCUCAUACUCGCAGCAAAAGUGGCAUCUUCCAACCGAAGAAGCGCACUGAUGGCACUGUUGUGUGGCUUGCGGCCUGUAUGGCGCAUACUGAGGCCGACCCUACGACUGAACCACGACAUUUUCAGGCAGCACUUGGCAUUCCACACUGGCGUGCUGCGAUGGAGGAGGAGAUCCAUGCACUUCAACGAAACAACACUUGGCGCCUGGUUCCACCUCCAUCUGGUGUCAAUAUCAUUGACUCUAAGUGGGUGUUCAAGGUGAAGAAACAUGCUGAUGGUUCCAUUGAGAGAUACAAGGCACGUCUGGUUGCCAAGGGUUUCAAACAAUGGUAUGGCAUUGAUUAUGCAGACACAUUCAGUCCUGUUAUUAAACCAACCACUAUUCGUGUUCUUCUCUCCUUGGCUGUUACUCGAGGAUGGUCGCUUCGACAGCUUGAUGUUCAGAAUGCUUUCCUCCAUGGAGUUCUGGAGGAAGAGGUUUACAUGCGAUAG